CCUACGGGAGGCAGCAGUGAGGAAUAUUGGUCAAUGGACGAGAGUCUGAACCAGCCAAGUAGCGUGAAGGAUGACUGCCCUACGGGUUGUAAACUUCUUUUAUAAAGGGAUAAAACGAGGCUCGUGUGCCUUAUUGCAGGUACUUUAUGAAAAAGGAUCGGCUAACUCCGUGCCAGCAGCCGCGGUAAUACGGAGGAUCCGGACGUUAUCCGGAUUUAUUGGGUUUAAAGGGUGCGUAGAUGGGUUGUUAAGUCAGUUGUGAAAGUCUGCGGCUCAACCGUAAAAUUGCAAUUGAUACUGGCAGUCUUGAGUACAGUUGAGGUAGGCGGAAUUCGUAGUGUAGCGGUGAAAUGCUUAGAUAUUACGAAGAACCCCGAUUGCGAAGGCAGCUUACUAAACGGGGACUGACAUUGAUGCUCGAAAGCGUGGGUAUCAAACAGGAUUAGAUACCCCUGUAGUC
This 460-nucleotide ribosomal RNA is filed under the name uncultured bacterium. RNAcentral's name for it is "partial 16S ribosomal RNA". It matches the Rfam family "Bacterial small subunit ribosomal RNA", at positions 338 to 795 of the family's 1533-position model. The record is from RNAcentral.